CCGGGAGCUGGCAGACCUGGGACAGAGCAGGCUGGUGUCACCUCUGACCAGCUCAUGACAGCUGAUUGUUAAAUAUGGCUCCUGACAACCAUCGUUAAACUUGUAGGAAUUUUGUGAGCCAGUUGACCUCAUCAGGUAUUUGGAUGCUGACCAUGGAGACCGUCAGAUGCUGUAAACCCUCCUACCCGGGAGGUUGCCCGAUGUUUGCCACACAGGCUGCGGGGCCUGUCUGUGUGGCCACCUCCCAGUCUGGGUCGAGUGUCUCCUGAAUCACCACCGCUCAGGCCCUUGGGCAGUAGUCAAGAGCAGGGUUGGGGCAGGGCCAUGGGGCCACCAGGCUGCAGGGACCCAGAGCAGGACAGGGCUAUGGGGCCACCAGACACCAGUGCAGGGUGACCCCCAGCGAGAGAGCCGUGGACUCUCCUUACCCUGACAUGGGCGCAGCCGUGGCUGUCCUUGGAGAUGGAGCCCGGGCCGUCAGCCGGCUCUGCCUGCCCCUGGACCCUGGGAAGGCAGGCGAGGAUUCUCCCCAGAGCCGCCAGGAGCCAGCCCUGCUGAGGCCUCGGUGCUGACUGGGGGAGAUGGGCCUGGCCCCUGACCCCGGGGUUCUAAGACACAGAGUCUGCCUCGCCUGGGCCACUGAGCUGGUGGGGCAUUGCUAGGCAGCACAGCAGGCCACCGCAGCCUCCGCCUGGGGGCUCUGCCCACGCAGCCGGCAUGGACCCAUGCUGCUCUGCAGCCGCCUGGACACUGCAGCUGAAUCUCAGCUCUUGGGGUCAGCGCCAGGGAAUGCAUGUCCAGCUGACCUUGGGGUUUCGUGUCACUGCCGCCAGCCAGACUGACCCCCGAGGUCCGUGGUUUGGGAGGAGCAGGGCACGUGGCUCCCAGGAUCCUCAGCCACCAGACACACACGCAUGCUCACUCGUGCCCCCCCCACGCACUUCCCCUAUAUGUGCUCCAAACAAGCACGCUGACAUGUGGUCACACAUGGCACUCUGCACGCGUGGUCACUCGUGGCACUCUGCACGCAUGUGCACAUGUGCUCACACGCACACUCAUGUGGCCCCUAACUGCUUCCGCACAGCACACCCUCCAUGGCGUGUGCUCCUCUCCCUUCCCC
RNAcentral lists this long non-coding RNA (1120 nucleotides) under Marmota monax (woodchuck). Lineage: Eukaryota; Metazoa; Chordata; Mammalia; Rodentia; Sciuridae. The record is from RNAcentral.